CGGAUAUUUCGUCUUCUGGCCUGGCUUAUUUCGUUUCGGCGCUGCUGAGACCUCCUUUCGCGGAAUAUUACUCAAUGACAGUGUGCGAAGAACGCGAGUUCACCUUCUUGACGAAAAUCGUGGACUAACAGUUUGAAGUCAUUGAACUACUUCCAAAAGUUGUAUCGACAUCAACAGGAUUA
This is a long non-coding RNA of Sycon ciliatum, 182 nucleotides long. RefSeq lists it as uncharacterized. The transcript is spliced from 3 exons. The record is from RefSeq and is a predicted model, not a curated record. NCBI's taxonomy places the organism in Eukaryota, Metazoa, Porifera, Calcarea, Leucosolenida, Sycettidae.